This 304-nucleotide long non-coding RNA is filed under the name Diabrotica virgifera virgifera (western corn rootworm). RNAcentral's name for it is "uncharacterized LOC126890410". The record is from RNAcentral. Lineage: Eukaryota; Metazoa; Arthropoda; Insecta; Coleoptera; Chrysomelidae.
AGAUUAGAUUUGUUAAUAGAGGAGUAUGUUCAAAACACUUUUUAGAAAAAGAUAUUGACAGAACUUCACUUUCAUCUGUUCGUUUGAGAGACUGUGCUGUUCCAAUAGCUUAUGUCACACAGAAUCAGCUGAGAGAAGUGGUCUACAAAAAACCAGAAAGGAAACGGAAUAUGUGGCUACGAAAAGCAAAAGAAAGGUUUACAAAGCAAAUGUGACACAUUUUUUUUAUAAUAUUUAGGAAUGUCAGCAAAUUACAUUAAAAAAUGUAUGUAAAGAUUUUUUGCAAUAAAAAUGUUUAUAUUUA